GACGAACGCUGGCGGCGUGCCUAAUACAUGCGAGUUGAGCGCUGAAGGUUGGUACUUGUACCAACUGGAUGAGCAGCGAACGGGUGAGUAACGCGUGGGGAAUCUGCCUUUGAGCGGGGGACAACAUUUGGAAACGAAUGCUAAUACCGCAUAAAAACUUUAAACACAAGUUUUAAGUUUGAAAGAUGCAAUUGCAUCACUCAAAGAUGAUCCCGCGUUGUAUUAGCUAGUUGGUGAGGUAAAGGCUCACCAAGGCGAUGAUACAUAGCCGACCUGAGAGGGUGAUCGGCCACAUUGGGACUGAGACACGGCCCAAACUCCUACGGGAGGCAGCAGUAGGGAAUCUUCGGCAAUGGACGAAAGUCUGACCGAGCAACGCCGCGUGAGUGAAGAAGGUUUUCGGAUCGUAAAACUCUGUUGGUAGAGAAGAACGUUGGUGAGAGUGGAAAGCUCAUCAAGUGACGGUAACUACCCAGAAAGGGACGGCUAACUACGUG
Molecule: ribosomal RNA, 497 nt
Filed under: uncultured bacterium
Lineage: Bacteria
Description: partial 16S ribosomal RNA
Rfam family: Bacterial small subunit ribosomal RNA
Source: RNAcentral